UAGGGAAUCUUCCACAAUGGACGAAAGUCUGAUGGAGCAACGCCGCGUGAGUGAAGAAGGGUUUCGGCUCGUAAAACUCUGUUGUUAAAGAAGAACAUAUCUGAGAGUAACUGUUCAGGUAUUGACAGUAUUUAACCAGAAAGCCACGGCUAACUACGUGCCAC
This 164-nucleotide ribosomal RNA is filed under the name uncultured bacterium. Its description in RNAcentral is "partial 16S rRNA". It matches the Rfam family "Bacterial small subunit ribosomal RNA", at positions 355 to 511 of the family's 1533-position model. The record is from RNAcentral.